Small nuclear RNA from Otolemur garnettii (small-eared galago), 102 nucleotides. NCBI's taxonomy places the organism in Eukaryota, Metazoa, Chordata, Mammalia, Primates, Galagidae. The record is from Ensembl.
UCCUGUGCUCUCUUUGGCAUAUGCUAAAAUUGAAACUAUACAGAGAAGAUUAGCAUGGCCCCUGCGAAAGGAUGACACCCCAAUACAGAGGAUCCUUUUAUU